GCUGAGGCAAGUUGAAGCUAAACCCUGCAGGGCACUGGCCCUCCAGGACUGAAGUUUGGACACCCCUGAGUUAAAAGAACUGCUCCAACUCUGCAGGCCAGGUCGAUGCUGAUAACCAUGUGGGAAGCAUGCCGACAUACAGUGCUGUUGCGCUUUUGGCAUCUUGAGUUCGAAUCCCAAAUCGAGGACCUUUCCCAAUCCCACCCCCGAUCUCUCUUCCACUUUGCUUCCUGUCAGUUCUGAUCUGUCCUAUCAUAAUAAAGGCAAAAAUGCCAAAAACAAAUCUUUAAAAACUCUGAAGGCCAGUGUUUCCCAGCCCUAUUCCUGAAGGCCCCCUCCCCAGUAGUAGCAUUUUGUGUAUCCCUUAUCCAUCUGACCCAUCCAUUUCAGGUCAUGGAGUCUUUACUAAUGAGCUGAUGAGUUGAAUCAGUGGGUCCACCCUGACUUCGUGUCGCGCUUCCUGAAGAAAGGAAAAGCCCUGAUGUGCUUGUCACCUGAGCUGACGGCCGGGGCUGCGUGAUGGAGGCCGAAUGUCUUCACUUGGUCCCUCUUCAGACACUCAAAGGCCGCUCUGUUUCAGCCUGAUGACGAGCCGAUUGGAUAUAAUCUUGAGCAGCGGACUCAGGAGAUGGGGAGGAAUAGGGAAACUCUACAGUAGGCUUUGCAGGGAAGGAUCGUCUUUCUCCAGAAGUAGGAAACGAGCGUCGGAGGGUUCCUGCUGCCAGUCGGCUCUCUCCUCCUGUUACGACACGGGACCAAAUUCAAACCAUGUGUCCUCGCACCCGGUUAGCUGCUUUUGCCCACCUCUAGCAUUAGCAGUCUGGACGGAUCCAUUUCACUGCCCCUCUCCCGUGUAGCGUUCUCAUUCUCCCAGCCCCAAAUGAGCCUCUCCGUGGGACUCCUGCCUUAAUAGGCUGGAACUUUCCCAUGUCCGGUCUCCAAAGGUGGCUGUUAUCCUCCGAGGGCCCCUGUGCGAGUUUCAAGCUCGGGCUCAUGUUAUGAGCCGGGCGAGGUGGACUCCGGGAUGUCAGAUGUGAUGCUUCACACAGAUUUUCACGGUAGUGUCUGAGCAGACCUGUGGAUGAGUGUGACAGCUGGUUCCUCCACAUCAUGGAUUGGUCAGAGAUAUCUGGAGAUGCUCGUUUCAUAAGUGGAUUUCAGUUGUGUGGACUACAUCACAGCAUCUGCUGUUUCGGUUUCCCGUGCUUUGACUGCAGAGACUCGAUUACUCGGACUGUUUUAUUCUUUACGUCAUGUGUUUUCAGCUGAUUUGUCAGUACACUGUUCCAGUCAUGCUAAAAUAUACAAUACACAUACAGUAGUUAUGAUGUUGAAACUCUUGUUCACUGCACCCGUAGAUGCCCUACUAACUAAAGUUUAUAUGCCAGGGACUAGAUCUUCUAGCGAUCUAAUAAAUAUUGUUUGAAUGUAAAUUGUGCUAAUAUUUCAAUAAUAUAGCAAUGUUUUAUAAAGAAAUAAGGCACUUUGUUGUAAAUGACUACAGUAUAUCACAAUCUAACACAUCCUCUUGUACAGUAUUGCUUCCUUUUAAUAUAUAAAUAUUUUUUUUACAUACACGUGUGUGUAAUUAUGAUAUUAUUUUUUAAA
Cyprinus carpio carpio is the source of this 1608-nucleotide long non-coding RNA. The record is from Ensembl. Lineage: Eukaryota; Metazoa; Chordata; Actinopteri; Cypriniformes; Cyprinidae.